This 496-nucleotide ribosomal RNA is filed under the name uncultured bacterium. RNAcentral's name for it is "partial 16S ribosomal RNA". It matches the Rfam family "Bacterial small subunit ribosomal RNA", at positions 28 to 506 of the family's 1533-position model. The record is from RNAcentral.
GAUGAACGCUGGCGGCGUGCCUAAUACAUGCAAGUCGAGCGAACAGACGAGGAGCUUGCUCCUCUGACGUUAGCGGCGGACGGGUGAGUAACACGUGGAUAACCUACCUAUAAGACUGGGAUAACUUCGGGAAACCGGAGCUAAUACCGGAUAAUAUAUUGAACCGCAUGGUUCAAUAGUGAAAGACGGUUUUGCUGUCACUUAUAGAUGGAUCCGCGCCGCAUUAGCUAGUUGGUAAGGUAACGGCUUACCAAGGCGACGAUGCGUAGCCGACCUGAGAGGGUGAUCGGCCACACUGGACCUGAGACACGGUCCAGACUCCUACGGGAGGCAGCAGUAGGGAAUCUUCCGCAAUGGGCGAAAGCCUGACGCAGCAACGCCGCGUGAGUGAUGAAGGUCUUCGGAUCGUAAAACUCUGUUAUUAGGGAAGAACAAAUGUGUAAGUAACUAUGCACGUCUUGACGGUACCUAAUCAGAAAGCCACGGCUAACUACGU